Molecule: long non-coding RNA, 3738 nt
Filed under: Cucumis sativus (cucumber)
Lineage: Eukaryota; Viridiplantae; Streptophyta; Magnoliopsida; Cucurbitales; Cucurbitaceae
Description: long non-coding RNA (CSAT_LNC001501)
Source: RNAcentral
UGCCUUCUUUAGUUAUUUAUUUAUUUUUAAAAUGCUCUCAAGUGGAAGUGUGGAACGUAUUCUUUCAAGUAUUUCAAGAAAUUAGAAAAUUUGUAAAAAUUAGGGGUGCACGUUAAAACCGCCCAAACUGCCAAAGCCAUUCGAACCGCCUGAAACCGACGACGGUUCAAUCCUUGCGAUCUGCAGCGGGUUGAUGGCCGGAGAAACCGACGACAAUCGGCCGUUAGCGGUUCCAUUAAAAAGUAUUCCGAGUGAACCAAAAGCUAAAAUUGAGGAAUUAGAAAGAUGAGAGGAAGAAUGGUAAAGAUAAAUUGUUUAUUUUUCUUUCUAAUUUUAAAAUUACCUUUACCUUUACACACAGGAUAUUUACAACAAUUACCAAUGCAUGUGUUAGUCCAUUGAUGAAAACAAACCAACUUCUUUGAAAUCUGAAAAAAUAAUAUAUAUUAUUUUUACAAAUUAAAUUGUUAACUACACUUACAAUAUUUUUUCUCGAGCCUAGUGCCAACUUUUAAAUUUACUUGUGUCAGUCAUUGAUGUGAUUUUCGUUGAAAUUUGAACAAAAUAAUAAAUGUUAUUUUUGCAAAAUAAAAAAUAAACACACAGCCACACUAUUUAUUUGAGGAACCAGAAACCGAAAUGACCAGACUGUUAGUUUAGGCGGUUUGAGAUACUAACGGUUCUACAUCAUUUUCUUUUCCUUGUCUAUUGUCUAUUCAACUCCAGUUUUGCACAAUAACCGAGCCGAACUAAACCGCUUGCAACCCUAUCAAUGCUUUUAAUUAACUAAAACAACUUCAGCCCUAGUCCAUUGCCAGCACAAAAUCAGGCACUUCCAUGUCAUAACGUCUGUCAAGAGAAAAGCCAACCUUAAUAAGAGGAUUGGAAACCCUCUAGAACCUUCACACAUUUCUACACUUGUCCAAGCUUACCAGACUUUCCUAGAUUUCUCUACAAUUUACAGGGUGUGACCCUCUCAUCUCUGGUGACAUGCUAGGCUAGUAGGCUUCACUUAGUGUUAAACUUGCCAAGAUUUCUCUACAACUGUCGUGGUGCAUCUUGUUAUCUUUAAUUAUAAACAAAGUUUUCCAUAGGAUUGAACUUGUCUGUGAACUUGUAUUCCAUAAUAGUCUCUAUACAUAUCUCACAGGCAUGAAGUUUGGGUUGAGGAUGCUAACGCUUGGGGAUUUGUGCAAUCGUCGUACUCUUAUUGAUUUAAAGGUUCUUGAAUGGGCAGCCUUGUUGCGGCUUUUAUAUUUGGUCCGCUUUCGAGCUGCUACUGAUUCAUGGAUUUGGACUAUUGAUUCAUCUCCAUCUUUCUCUGUUAAAUCUCUUAUGGAUAGUUUGGUGAGCUUUGAUUAUAAAAACACUGUGGAUGUUUAUUCGGCUAUUCGGUUGGAUCAAUUUCCCAAGAAAAUUAAAAUUUUAGCUUAGCCUUAGUGCGACUAAUACUGCCGAUCACCUUCAACGUCGUAUGCCCUAUAUGGUCCUUUCUCCUUCUUGGUGUCACAUGUGUCACUCUCAUUCAGCAUCUGCUGCUCAUCUGUUCAUUCAUUGCUCGAGCAUUGCGUUUUUUGGCAUCAUAUUCCGCAAGGUUUUGGCUGGUCAUUGUUUUUUUUCUCAGAAUAUGUUUGAUAAUUUGUGUUCUUUGUUGGUUGGUCACCCUUUUCACGGCCGUAAGAGAACACUCUGGCUGGCUAUCAUUUGUACUUUUUUAUGGAUUCUUUGGGGGAGAAUGCAACAAACGCCUCUUUCGAGACCAGUUUUCCAGUUUUGAGUAAUUUGUGGACUAGGUUAUCUUUGCUGCUUUGUGGUGCCAAUAUAAGCACCCUUUUAAGCUUUUAAGUCUUUCUCUUUCUCAUCUUGUCUCUCAUUGACGUUAUUUUCUGUAAUCACCUUUGGGUGUUUGGGCCCUGGCCUUUAUUUCAUUGAUAUUUUAUCAAUGGAAUGUUUCUAUUAAAAAAAAACACAAGCAAGAAGUGAGAAAGAUCUUGAAGGAGAUCCCAAUAACUGGAUGAGAACGAUCCUAAUCAUCCAUUAAAGAGAUGGAAGCCUAAAGAAAUGUGGAACCCCCCUCCCAUAAUCGUAGCCCACACACACACACACAAAACCCGACAAUCAAGCACCUAAAAACUCAAGUAGCCAGAAAUGAAUCUUCCAAAAGCCAACCUAACUCUUAAGAACUUUAUCACUUGGGCAGCAAAAAGAAAAAUCUUUGCCUCCAACACUAUCUCUUGCUUAUUGAUCUAACCUGACCUGAGUACUCUUUCACACGUCCCUUCAAGGCUUAACUUAAGAACUUUUUGCCCCAAGACUCUGAAGCUCGCCCCACCACACUGAUCACAGCAGCUUAAGGUGACGCAGCAGCUUGGUGUUCUUCAAAUGCAGAAUUCAAAGAUUACUCCAUUCAAGACAUCUGCCUCAAUUGUAUCGCCUUCAUCUGAUGAGAUUCAAUGUAGUUUCCCUUGAUUGCCAGUUCAAAAUUAGUGCUUCUGGAGUUUGGGCGGGUUUUAUAUGUAUCUCUGCCAUUAUGUUUUUACUUUUCAGCCUUGCUUUUGUCUACCUUAGGUAGCUUCUGUUGUUAUUUUGGUUGUUACUUUAGUCUGACCUUAGUAUUGUUCUUGUACUUUGAUCUUUUCUUUGUAUUUUGGAUACGACGAGGGUGUCAACCUAGUGCACCUACUGAUCCUAUCUCUCUCCCUCCCUCCUUUCUUGGCUUCCCUAUUAUUCUCAUAGCUCUCUUAUACAUUGAGUUUAUUAGAUAAUGAAGCUUGUCUCCUAAAAAAAAUGGUGAAAUUUCUAUUCUAAAGUGACUAGGAGAGAAAUUAACAGGAAAAGGCACCUUGUUGUUUUGUAAAAAUUGUCAUAACCUGAAGUCCCACUGAAACAAGUAUACAGCUUAAGCACCCUUAUUACUGAGCAGUACAAGAAGCAAGAUUCAAAGCAGAAGGAAAAAUGAAAACCUGAAGAACUCCAACAAGAGGUGAGGAUGGCACAUCUCCAAAGAUGUGGAUUGCGACAGUAGACAUAGCCAUAGAUAAUGGCCGCAGACUUGGUUUAACGGCCUCCAGAUUGAUAUAAUUUACAGGACCCUGAAAAGUGUAAAAACUUGUGACAACUCCACAUAACGGGGUGAAAAAGUGUAAAAAUAGAUGUAACAAAUAAGUCAUACUCAACCAUAAGAAAGACAUGAUUAAAAAAGGAACUUCCAUUGUUAAUAAACUAAUAAGGAAUAUUUUCAUUUAAGGUCCAUUGUUAAAGAAUGUGAUUUAAUAUUGGUGUGAAGUUGUUCAGGAUUUUGCAAGACAUCUGUUUCCUUGAAGAUUAGCUCAUGAAUCCUCUUCAAGCCCUGUUCUGUUCCACUUGACGGUCAAGUGUUUUUCGCUCCAUAGUUUUUGAAGUUGAAAGUUUGUUUUUGUCUUGAUUAUGGGUUGUUAUUGUACUCUUGUUGAAUUUGUUGGCUGUUUGGGCUCGGAUUUUGUUUUUACAUUUUUGGUGUAGUCGUUUUUGUUUCCGAAUUCGGAGUCAUUAUUAUGGUUUGUAGAGGUCUUGUUGUUGUCUCAUUGUAAUCGUCCUUUCAUUUUCAGUUCAUCAAUGAAAAAUCUUUUUCCUUUUAAAGAAAAGGCACUUCCAUUCAUCCCUGAACUAGAAAUUUAACGAAGGUAAAGAAUAACAAAAUAAGGUGGCUCAACAGGAAAAGAACUUCCAUGUCCUCCUUUCCAAUAGAUUUCACAUUUC